RNAcentral lists this ribosomal RNA (327 nucleotides) under uncultured eukaryote. RNAcentral's name for it is "partial 18S ribosomal RNA". It matches the Rfam family "Eukaryotic small subunit ribosomal RNA", at positions 1470 to 1796 of the family's 1831-position model. The record is from RNAcentral.
CCCUUAGAUGUCCUGGGCCGCACGCGCGCUACAAUGAUGCAACCAACGAGUGCUGCUCCUUGGCCGAGAGGCCCGGGGAACCUUGCAAACUGCAUCGUGCUGGGGAUAGAUGAUUGCAAUUCUUCAUCUUGAACGAGGAAUACCUUGUAAGCGCGGGUCAUCAUCCCGCGCUGAAUACGUCCCUGCCCUUUGUACACACCGCCCGUCGCUCCUACCGAUUGAGUGGUCCGGUGAGGCUUUGGGAUCUGAGCGGAAAGAGCGUUUCGCUGUUUCUGCUCGGAAAACUCAGUCGAACCUUAUCAUUUAGAGGAAGGAGAAGUCGUAACA